GCCUGGCUAGCUCAGUUGGUAGAGCUAUGAGACUCUCAAUCUCAGGGUUGUGGGUUGGAGCCCCAUGUUAGGCG
Non-coding RNA from Apus apus (common swift), 74 nucleotides. Lineage: Eukaryota; Metazoa; Chordata; Aves; Apodiformes; Apodidae. The record is from the annotation of a RefSeq genome assembly.